Molecule: ribosomal RNA, 465 nt
Filed under: uncultured bacterium
Lineage: Bacteria
Description: partial 16S ribosomal RNA
Rfam family: Bacterial small subunit ribosomal RNA
Source: RNAcentral
GACGAACGCUGGCGGCGUGCUUAACACAUGCAAGUCGAACGGUGAACUCCGCUUGCGGGGGGAUCAGUGGCGAACGGGUGAGUAACACGUGGGCAACCUGCCCUCAGCUCUGGGAUAACUCCAAGAAAUUGGGGCUAAUACCGGAUAUGACCGCUGACCGCAUGGUCUGGUGGUGGAAAGAUUUAUCGGCUGGGGAUGGGCCCGCGGCCUAUCAGCUUGUUGGUGGGGUAGUGGCCUACCAAGGCGACGACGGGUAGCCGGCCUGAGAGGGUGACCGGCCACACUGGGACUGAGACACGGCCCAGACUCCUACGGGAGGCAGCAGUGGGGAAUAUUGCGCAAUGGGCGAAAGCCUGACGCAGCGACGCCGCGUGGGGGAUGACGGCCUUCGGGUUGUAAACCCCUUUCAGCAGGGACGAAGCGAAAGUGACGGUACCUGCAGAAGAAGCACCGGCCAACUACGUG